GGCCAUUUCUAUUAGGCUUAAAUAUUCCUCAACUAGAUAGAGAAUUAUUUCCAUUUUAGUUUAUAACUUUUAUUUUAGUGUUAUUCUUAUUUGAAUAAGAUUCCUACUAAUAUUAAGAUUAAAGGUACUAACACUAUAAAUAUGAGUAUUGUGGAAGAUAUUAUUUAGCUUUGACCCGUGUGUAGUAAAAUGACAUAAAGUUUAAGAGGAAGAAACUCUUGUCAUUGCAUCCCAUGGAGGAAUUGUGGUUAUAAAGUUAAAGUAAUACAUCUAUUAGUUAUGUAUAGAAGAGAAUAAUAGGGAUAAACCAAUAUACUUAUUAUAAGCAGUUAGUAGUGUGAUAUAUGUUGAAUAUAAUGAGAUUUAUGAAAAUUGAGUAAAGUUUUGAGCUUAAUGAUGUAUUUUGUUUGGAUUAUUGAUCGUAAAAAAUAACAUAUCUAUGAAAAUAGCCAUAUAUUAAAGGAUGAACCAUGUAAAUGGUUUCAUUUCAUUUAAAAUGAACUUUAUUCAUUAUUAGAAGAUGCCAAACAAAACAAUUGUUAAUUUACAAAUAAAUUAUAAAAUUUGUUUAUAAACAAAAGCAAUUUUUGGUUCUAAAAGACAAUAAUAAACCAACAGCUACAUGCAUGAUAUUUUCUGCUUAUUUUGAGUGAAUUCCCAUUUACCUUUUAUUCAUAUUUUGUUUUUCUCAUGAAAAGCACAAUUAUAUGGACAAUAACUUGAAAAAGC
RNAcentral lists this unclassified non-coding RNA (729 nucleotides) under Hevea brasiliensis (rubber tree). The record is from RNAcentral. Lineage: Eukaryota; Viridiplantae; Streptophyta; Magnoliopsida; Malpighiales; Euphorbiaceae.